GACGAACGCUGGCGGCGUGCUUAACACAUGCAAGUCGAACGGUGAUGCUCCAGCUUGCUGGAGUGGAUCAGUGGCGAACGGGUGAGUAACACGUGAGCAACCUGCCCCAGACUCUGGAAUAAGCGCUGGAAACGGCGUCUAAUACUGGAUACGAAACUGGCCCGCAUGGGCAUGGUUUGGAAAGUUUUUCGGUUUGGGAUGGGCUCGCGGCCUAUCAGCUUGUUGGUGAGGUAAUGGCUCACCAAGGCGACGACGGGUAGCCGGCCUGAGAGGGCGACCGGCCAAACUGGGACUGAGACACGGCCCAGACUCCUACGGGAGGCAGCAGUGGGGAAUAUUGCACAAUGGGCGAAAGCCUGAUGCAGCGACGCCGCGUGAGGGAUGACGGCCUUCGGGUUGUAAACCUCUUUCAGCAGGGAAGAAGCGAAAGUGACGGUACCUGCAGAAGAAGCACCGGCUAACUACGUG
Molecule: ribosomal RNA, 468 nt
Filed under: uncultured bacterium
Lineage: Bacteria
Description: partial 16S ribosomal RNA
Rfam family: Bacterial small subunit ribosomal RNA
Source: RNAcentral